GUCCACACCGUAAACGAUGGAUACUAGGUGUAGGGGAUAUUAAGUCUUCUGUGCCGUCGCAAACGCAGUAAGUAUCCCACCUGGGGAGUACGGCCGCAAGGUUGAAACUCAAAGGAAUUGACGGGGGCCCGCACAAGCAGUGGAGUAUGUGGUUUAAUUCGACGCAACGCGAAGAACCUUACCAAGGCUUGACAUAUACAGGAAUAUAUAAGAGAUUAUAUAGCUCUUCGGAGUCUGUAUACAGGUGGUGCAUGGUUGUCGU
Molecule: ribosomal RNA, 262 nt
Filed under: uncultured bacterium
Lineage: Bacteria
Description: partial 16S ribosomal RNA
Rfam family: Bacterial small subunit ribosomal RNA
Source: RNAcentral